RNAcentral lists this ribosomal RNA (497 nucleotides) under uncultured bacterium. RNAcentral describes it as "partial 16S ribosomal RNA". It matches the Rfam family "Bacterial small subunit ribosomal RNA", at positions 28 to 507 of the family's 1533-position model. The record is from RNAcentral.
GAUGAACGCUGGCGGCGUGCCUAAUACAUGCAAGUCGAGCGAACAGACGAGGAGCUUGCUCCUCUUACGUUAGCGGCGGACGGGUGAGUAACACGUGGAUAACCUACCUAUAAGACUGGGAUAACUUCGGGAAACCGGAGCUAAUACCGGAUAAUAUAUUUAACCGCAUGGUUCAAUAUUGAAAGACGGUUUUGCUGUCACUUAUAGAUGUAUCCGCGCCGCUUUAGCUAGUUGGUAAGGUAACGGCUUACCAAGGCAACGAUGCGUAGCCGACCUGAGAGGGUGAUCGGCCAAACUGGAACGGAGACACGGUCCAGACUCCUACGGGAGGCAGCAGUAGGGAAUCUUCCGAAAUGGGCGAAAGCCUGACGGAGCAACGCCGCGUGAGUGAUGAAGGUCUUCGGAUCGUAAAACUCUGUUAUUAGGGAAGAACAAAGGUGUAAGUAACUAUGCACGUCUUGACGGUACCUACUCAGAAAGCCACGGCUAACUACGUG